RNAcentral lists this microRNA precursor (96 nucleotides) under Mustela putorius furo (domestic ferret). Its description in RNAcentral is "miRNA (ENSMPUG00000021148.1)". The record is from RNAcentral. Lineage: Eukaryota; Metazoa; Chordata; Mammalia; Carnivora; Mustelidae.
ACGUGUGUGUGUGUGUGUACGCAAAAGCAUGUGUGCACAUAUGCCCUCAUAAGCACACACACACACACACACACACACAUGCACACACACACAUUU